UACGUAGGGUGCGAGCGUUGUCCGGAAUUAUUGGGCGUAAAGAGCUCGUAGGCGGUUUGUCACGUCUGCUGUGAAAUCCCGAGGCUCAACCUCGGGCCUGCAGUGGGUACGGGCAGACUGGAGUGCGGUAGGGGAGAAUGGAAUUCCUGGUGUAGCGGUGAAAUACGCAGAUAUCAGGAGGAACACCGAUGGCGAAGGCAGGUCUCUGGGCCAUAACUGACGCUGAGAAGCGAAAGCAUGGGGAGCGAACAGG
This 253-nucleotide ribosomal RNA is filed under the name uncultured bacterium. RNAcentral describes it as "partial 16S ribosomal RNA". It matches the Rfam family "Bacterial small subunit ribosomal RNA", at positions 524 to 776 of the family's 1533-position model. The record is from RNAcentral.